GUCACGUGCGGCGACAACAGCGGCGGUCACGGUCACGGUGCGGCGACAGCGGCGGCGCAGCAACGGCGGUGGUGGUAGCGACGGCGAUGGUGGUAGCGACGACAGUCAGGGUUGGAACUUCACAACCCUAGAAAAACAGAUUUUGUUUUCUCCAAGUCCGACGGCUCUGAUACCAUGUAGAAACAAAAUAUGCACGAGAGUAGAAGAAAGCACACAGAUGUAACGUGGAAAACCCUCAACGCGAAGGAAGAAAAACCACGGGUGAGGAGGUCUGGUGCCCACUAGCCUCCAGACACUCUCUCUCUUCAAAACUUCAUUAACACAAAGAUUAGGGUUUACAGAGAUAUAAGUAGUCCUAAUUAGGACAAACCGGAUCGGGUAAGGAUCCUGACCCGGACAACAAAACCCGUCAACAGGCUGCAUGACAAAUAAUCAAGUUGGCGAUAUUACAGGGUGCCCAGGCUGCAACCAAUGUCAUUCAUAGUCAAUCUUAUAUGAUUCAAUCACAAUCAGUGGUCAAAGGACAACUUGAUUGAGCAUUAAAUAUGUUAAAGAUUGGACAACUUUGAUAGUGAAAAAUGUGAAAGACCUCUAUCUUUAACACAAACUCAGUAUUCCUUGGAUGAAAAUCAGCUCCCAUACAAUGGUUUUCUCUUCAAACAUACAAGAGUACCAUUACACAACUUUAAAGAGUGUGUUGGGUCAGUGUGAAGAGCUUUUAAGGGCCAAAAUGGAGAAAAGGGGUUCAAGCUCCCUUUUCUCUGCCAGGUCUGUAUCACAUGAUAUGCAUUGUAUUGUAUGAUACGACCAUUAUACCUAUAUUACACCCAUAAAACUAUACUUAUAGAUGUAUCAUAUUGCUCUGCAGCAAUCAAUUACCAAAUGUAAUAUAAGUAUAUAACAUAUCGUAUGAUAUGCCAUGUUAUGUACAAAAUUGCUUUAAAGAGGUAGCAUUAUUGCCUAAAGAUGUUUCCCCAUGGGGUGGCACCCUGACAUGAUGUCGAUGGUGCUCCAACUCACCAAAUUCAUUGUCAGCUAUGAUAAGUGCAAUCAACUGCAGAGGUACAUACUAUGCUGACUUUGGCUCAAAUAUGAUGAUGUUAGUUGUCUUAUAGAUUCAUAAGUCAAUUAAUUUGUCUCAAAAUCUAAAACUCUAUACAGGCCAGGAGACAAUCUCAGGCAUGACAACUUUUAUUGGUCAUAGGCCUCUCAAAUGGUAAAAGACGAAAAGGUUUCCGGGAGUGAGACAGAGGUUUGCUUUCAAGUGUAAAGACAGGAGAGGGGCUUGAUUGCAACCAAGCAAGGGCAAAGAAUCGACUUUGGUAAUCCUAUGGUGCUGAGUGAAAGGCUAUUGUUGGAUGGCUAAGAAUUACUUCAGCGGUGUUCAAUGAUCCUGAAAAAGAUAUAUGGCGUAUUUGGGUGACACCUUAAAUGCUGUUUUGGAAGCAAAAUGUCAUUUUUCUUCCAACGUAGUGUUUAAGAACUACCUUCUGCUACUGGCCUCUUCUUCCCCCUUCCACAGUAGCAUCUGCUAUUGCCGUCUUCUUCCCCCUUUCACUUCCACAGCAGAAGCAUCUGGAACUACUGCCAUCUUCUUCCCCCUUCGACUUUCACAGCAGAAGCAUCUGGAACUACUGUUGUUCUCCCUUCCACAGUAGAAGUAUAUGGAAGACUGGAACAAACAAAUAAUCGAGUUAAACGAGUCGGUCGAGUCAAUCUCGAGCUCGAACACAAUCAAUCGAGUCAAGCUCGAGCUACCAUUGUAAAGCUCGACUCGAGUUCGAGCCGAGCUCGAGCUGACCAAAACAAGAGUCGAGCCGAGCUCGAGCUGACUGAGCUCGGGCUCCACUCGGCUCGUGUUCAGCCCUAACCACAAGCUGAGUUUGCAUAUAAUAACUCAGUCAAUCGUUCCACUGGGAAGACUCCUUUUCAAGUAGUAUAUGGUCGGUCUCUGAACCAUGUUGUUGACUUGUCCCUAGUACCUGGUGCUGGAGAACAUGCUCCGGCGACACGUGUUGCUAUUGAAUAUAUGUGUGAUGUCUAUAGUCAAGUGAAACUGAAGUUCCAAGAGAGGUAUGAAACCUACAAGUCCCUUGUUGAUCGGAGUCGUCUAGAUGUCAACUUUGAGGUAGGUCAACAAGUUUGGGUCUACCUACGACCUGAGCGUUGUCCUGUUGGUACUUAUAGUAAGUUAAGUCCUACGAAAUAUGACCUUUUCCACAUCAGUCGUCGUCUAGGAACAAAUGCUUAUCUGUUUGAGCUUCCUGAGGAUUGGCAAAUUUCGCCGAUCUUCAAUGUUUCUGGUCUGUUUCCCUACUCUGGUGACAUUGAUUCGUUAAAGACGACUUUUUUCCAACCAAGGGAGAAUGAUGCAGAGCAGGACCAGACACGUCACUCUCCUGGUUCCAAUUCCCCACCUCAGGUCCCACCUUUGGGCAUCAGUGUAGAUCAUGAAUCUUUAGUCGUGGAAUUCCACGCGGACCCGGAGCAUAGUUGAGAGGAAGUGCCCCUGCGUAGAUACUCGAGGCGCACCAAGGGUUGAAUUCAUCUCAGCUACUAGUGUCACCAACUUUGUGUCUAUUAAAUUGGAUGGGUGAACUCCAAGGGCUGGUGGAAUCAGUAGAAUCAGAUGGAAAUGGAGCCCAAUCAUCUACAAGCAGUGUCGUGUUAGAACUGAUGCCCAUCAAGGAUAUUUUGCUGAAUUAUAGUGCACAUUGCACAUCAUGGUUAUUUUUGGUGAAUUCGCCGAUGGACGUGAACAUAAUGAAUGAAGUUUUUGAGCGGAGGAAGACACAAAGGUGGAGAAGACAUUGAAUCAAUAUCAUCAAUCUUUGAUCAAUCAAAUAAAAAUUUCUUUUGAAAACUAGACACUGGAUAAA
Nymphaea colorata (pocket water lily) is the source of this 2879-nucleotide long non-coding RNA. RefSeq lists it as uncharacterized. NCBI's taxonomy places the organism in Eukaryota, Viridiplantae, Streptophyta, Magnoliopsida, Nymphaeales, Nymphaeaceae. The transcript has 4 exons. The record is from RefSeq and is a predicted model, not a curated record.